Sarcophilus harrisii (Tasmanian devil) is the source of this 1431-nucleotide long non-coding RNA. RefSeq lists it as uncharacterized. The transcript has 4 exons. The record is from RefSeq and is a predicted model, not a curated record. NCBI's taxonomy places the organism in Eukaryota, Metazoa, Chordata, Mammalia, Dasyuromorphia, Dasyuridae.
AUGGACAUUUGGCGCUAUUAAAUGUAACAGGUAUGGGACUUUUCUCAUGGAGUUCUUGGCCUGGAGCCCAUGGACCCAUAAUGGAUAAAUACCAGGAGAUCUGUAAACACUAAUUUUUUAAAAUUGGUAACUAUUUCAAAAAAAAAUGUUUCCUUUUAAAUGCUAUGUUAUUGUAUACAUUUAAUAACAUUACUUUGAGAAGGGAUCCACAGGCUUUGUCAAAGGGGUCCAUGACACCAAAAAAGUGAAGAAUACUUAUCAAAAAUGAUUUGUUGAUAGAACUGGGGAUACUCAGCAUAGAGAAUUUGUUUUGUUUUGUUUUGGAAUUUUUUUUUUUUUUUUUUGUGGGGGGAGUAGAACAUGAAAACUGUCCUCACAUAUGUAAACAGCCAUCAUAUGGAACAGCAAUUACAUUUGUUCUCUUGGCCCCAGGGGGCAGAGCUAGAAAACAAUGGAUGGAAAUGGCAGAAAGGCAGAUUUCAAGCUUGAUAUAGGAGAAGAUUUCCUAACAUUUAGAACUGUCUAAAAGUAGAGUAGGCUUCCUCAUGAGGUAAUUUGUCCCUCAUUUUUGAUGAUCUUCAAGAAAAGUUUGAACUACCACUUUGGCUCUCAGACCUCUUUUAACCUUGAGAAUCCAAGAUUCUAUAAUCAAGUACAUUUGUGCCCUCCAGGAGCCAUGGGGAUACCUGUCAGACAUAGGUAACAAUGGAGAAUGAUUGUUAUUGGUCAUGGUACACUACAGUCAAUAACCCCUCCAUAGCCAAACAAUUUGUACAUUCUGGAAUGUCAGAGGGACACUUGGGUAAUAUCCAGUAUAAAUCUGGACAAUUCGUACCAAUCUGUACUCUCUUGAAAGUUUGUUUCAACACUGACCAAGAUUUAACCCUACUGGAUCCUCCAGAGAUCUGAAAGCUCUAAACAAAACUAGGUCUUCUAGGACUGUUCUCCCAACAACAGCAGAUUGGAAUUCCUCAGUAUAACCUACAAUUAAUCUUUCUUUCCUCAUCACCCCUGGAAUAACCCUGGAGUGGGAAUGAUAAGGAAACUGAAACCUCAAGAAAUCAACUGACUUACCUAUUGCCACACAUCUACUAAAUGUCUGGAGCUACAUUCAAACAUAAGAUUCCUGUCUUCAAGUCAAGUAUUUAAUCUACUAUGUCAGAUUACCUUUCCUAAAUCAAGAGAGAAAAUGGAGGAAGAAAGAGGCUGUGAGCGACUUAGAAUCUAGAGCAACUUGAAUGCCUUAGACCUAGAGACAAAUCACUAUUAAGUGUCUUGAUAAGCCUACAGAAUCCACUUGUCCCAAAGGACAGAGGCAGAAGAAGAGAGCUGGUAAGAAGAGAUCAAGGAAGUGUCACAUAGGAAAGGCUGGCUCAAAAUCUGUUUCCCUUUUGCCAUUGUGUCAAAAAUUCCAAAGCAACAUCCAACACG